RNAcentral lists this ribosomal RNA (225 nucleotides) under Sphingomonas sp. PsM26. RNAcentral's name for it is "partial 16S ribosomal RNA". It matches the Rfam family "Eukaryotic small subunit ribosomal RNA", at positions 1581 to 1803 of the family's 1831-position model. The record is from RNAcentral. Lineage: Bacteria; Pseudomonadati; Pseudomonadota; Alphaproteobacteria; Sphingomonadales; Sphingomonadaceae.
GCAUUGUAAUUAUUGCUCUUCAACGAGGAAUUCCUAGUAAGCGCAAGUCAUCAGCUUGCGUUGAUUACGUCCCUGCCCUUUGUACACACCGCCCGUCGCUAGUACCGAUUGAAUGGCUUAGUGAGGCCUCAGGAUCUGCUUAGAGAAGGGGGCAACUCCAUCUCAGAGCGGAGAAUUUGGACAAACUUGGUCAUUUAGAGGAACUAAAAGUCGUAACAAGGUUUC